GGGGAAUAUUGGACAAUGGGCGAAAGCCUGAUCCAGCCAUGCCGCGUGUGUGAAGAAGGUCUUCGGAUUGUAAAGCACUUUAAGUUGGGAGGAAGGGCAGUAAGUUAAUACCUUGCUGUUUUGACGUUACCAACAGAAUAAGCACCGGCUAACUUCGUGCCAGCAGCCGCGGUAAU
Molecule: ribosomal RNA, 176 nt
Filed under: uncultured Pseudomonas sp.
Lineage: Bacteria; Pseudomonadati; Pseudomonadota; Gammaproteobacteria; Pseudomonadales; Pseudomonadaceae
Description: partial 16S ribosomal RNA
Rfam family: Bacterial small subunit ribosomal RNA
Source: RNAcentral